Molecule: unclassified non-coding RNA, 421 nt
Filed under: soil metagenome
Description: partial contains 5.8S ribosomal RNA, internal transcribed spacer 2, and large subunit ribosomal RNA
Rfam family: 5.8S ribosomal RNA (bases 1-120)
Source: RNAcentral
GAUGAAGAACGUAGCGAAAUGCGAUACGUAAUGUGAAUUGCAGAAUUCAGUGAAUCAUCGAAUCUUUGAACGCAUAUUGCGCUCUUUGGUAUUCCGAAGAGCAUGCUUGUUUGAGUAUCAGUAAACACCUCAACCUCUUCUUGAUUUUUCAAAAGGAGGAUGGACUUGAGCUAUCCCAACAACCUUUACCGGUCGGCGGGCGGCUUGAAAUGCAGGUGCAGCUGGACUUUUAUCUGAGCUAAAAGCAUAUCUAUUUAGUCCUCGUCAAACAGGAUUAUUACUUUUGCUGCAGCUAACAUAAAGGAUAAUUGUCCUCUUUGCUGACUGAUGCAGGAUAUUACGACACUUUAUGUGUUGUUCAACUCGAGCUCAAAUCAAGUAAGACUACCCGCUGAACUUAAGCAUAUCAAUAAGCGGAGGA